GUCCCUCACCUUUGAAUCUGAGUCCCAGA
This 29-nucleotide non-coding RNA is filed under the name Rattus norvegicus (Norway rat). Lineage: Eukaryota; Metazoa; Chordata; Mammalia; Rodentia; Muridae. The record is from RNAcentral.